This 376-nucleotide ribosomal RNA is filed under the name uncultured bacterium. Its description in RNAcentral is "bacterial SSU rRNA". It matches the Rfam family "Bacterial small subunit ribosomal RNA", at positions 523 to 898 of the family's 1533-position model. The record is from RNAcentral.
GUACGUAGGGGGCGAGCGUUACCCGGAAUCACUGGGCGUAAAGGGAGCGUAGGUGGCCUGACAUGUCGACUGUGAAAACCCGGAGCUCAACUCCGGACUUGCAGUUGAAACUGCCAGGCUUGAGGACGGUAGAGGAAGACGGAACUGCCAGUGUAGGGGUAAAAUCCUUAGAUAUUGGCAGGAACGCCGGUGACGAAGGUGGUUUUCUGGGCCGGUUCUGACACUGAUGCUCGAAAGCCAGGGGAGCGAACGGGAUUAGAUACCCCGGUAGUCCUGGCCCUAAACGAUGUUCACUAGGUGUGGGGAGCGGAAAGCUUUCCGUGCUAAAGCUAACGCGAUAAGUGAACCGCCUGGGGAGUACGCCCGCAAGGGUGAA